GACGUAGGGUGCGAGCGUUGUCCGGAUUUACUGGGCGUAAAGCGCGCGUAGGCGGCUCGGAAAGUCGGUCGUGAAAUGCCGGGGCUCAACCCCGGGACUGCGUCCGAUACUCCCGAGCUGGAGGCAGGUAGGGGAGAUCGGAAUUCCUGGUGUAGCGGUGAAAUGCGCAGAUAUCAGGAGGAACACCGGUGGCGAAGGCGGAUCUCUGGGCCUUGCCUGACGCUGAGGCGCGAAAGCUAGGGGAGCGAACAGG
RNAcentral lists this ribosomal RNA (253 nucleotides) under uncultured bacterium. RNAcentral describes it as "partial 16S ribosomal RNA". It matches the Rfam family "Bacterial small subunit ribosomal RNA", at positions 524 to 776 of the family's 1533-position model. The record is from RNAcentral.